GCUCCAGCUUUACAAAAAAAAAAGACAACCUUAUUUUUUUCUGUAACUUUCAUUUAUGUAAAACAAUUAUUUCAUUUGGCCAAAGCAUGACAACGUUUUCCAGUUAUAGCAGCCUUACACUCCAACUUCUGCAAAUUAAAAAACAACCAAAAAAAUCAGCUGCUCACACCACUUUUCCAUACAUAUUUGUUUGCUCUAUGUUCAGCCCUGAGCCCCUGCAGACAGACAAGGGAAGAGGUAAAUGAUAAGUAUGCUCCCAAAAGCAUUUUGUGACACUGUAUCAGGAGGGUCCCAGAUGAGACAAUCUGCUCUUCCCAGCCACAAAGCAACCACCUCAGACUUCAACCAGCAUAAGGAAUCAUCCAGAUCCAUAGUCAUGGCCAAAAACUUUUGUCAAAGCCAACACUCUUUCACUCAUUUGGGCUUCUAAUCAAUUCCAAGUACUGUUUUUAUGCAUCAUGCAUAAUGCCUACAAUAGGGGCAUUCCUGAAAGGAUUGUUUGCAUAUGCACAAUGUGCUGCAGUUUCUUUUCACGGCAUAGAAAGGCAGGCAUAACCUGUGUCAGUGACUUUCAGAUAGCUCUUAAAAAUGUUAAAUUAAAAAACAGAUUUGAGUUAGAAAGGUAGAGUAGAUGUCAGCAUUUUAAGUGGGCCUGAAAUCAUUUGAGGAUCUGCCCCAGCAAAGCUGGUAGUCAGUCUCUACCAGCCUGAAGUUGAAGCAGAAAUUUCAAUCUGCUUAUCAGUGUGAAUUAUCUCUCUUCAGAUUUACUUGUUCUAUUACACCACCAGCACAUCUGGAGAUGUAUUGCAUUUAUUACAUUCCACAAUAUUUGCAGUAUGUUCUGUUUCAUAGAAAAUUCAAGGAAAAAAAAUUAAGAGAGCAUACAAGCACAUUGGAUUUAUCACUCCCCUUUAGAAAUGCCCCCAUUCUUCAACAUCAAGGUCAAAAUUUUGUUGGUUAGAACACCUUCUUAGGGCAAGCAUGGAGAACACAGGCCAGGGGCUUCCUGUUACAAUGCAACACACAAAGAAAUCUUUUAGUGUGGUCCUUUCUCUGAUGUGCUUGCCCACCUCUCAAGUCUGAAUUUUCAAGUUUCCUCUUGACUUUUCUAGUUCAGAGGUUGAAGUGAGGUAACUACAUCAAUAUUUUAAUUUAAUUAGAAAGAAGACUGCUG
Cyanistes caeruleus (blue tit) is the source of this 1174-nucleotide non-coding RNA. NCBI's taxonomy places the organism in Eukaryota, Metazoa, Chordata, Aves, Passeriformes, Paridae. The record is from RefSeq and is a predicted model, not a curated record.